UCUUGAUUUUUAGUAUUAAUGAUAUCAGGUGUUUAAAAAGUUUUUAAAAAAAGUUUUAUUCUUGCUUAUUUAUUUACUUUAUCUUUGUAUUAUAUACUAGUUUUGAAUACUAAAGGUUUCGUUUUGUAUUAAUUUAAUUUAAUUAUCAAGUGAGUUUGGAAUUAGCUAUUGAUUAAAGUUUUGGCUAUAUUUGUGCCAGCAGCCGCGGUUAUACAAUUAAUGCAAGUAAAUAUUUUUGGUUAGGCAGUUAUUUUAAAUUUAGAGCUUUAUUAUUAAUUUAUUAGGUGGAAUUUUUUAUUUGUUUUUAGUUCUUAUUUUAUUCUGUGAAAUUUAAAUUUUAAACUAGGAUUAGAUACCCUAUUAUUUUGAUUGUAAAUAAAUUUACCUGAGUAUUAAUAGUUAAUUUCUUUAAACUCAAAGAAUUUGGCGGUAUUUUAUUCUAUUCAGAGGAACCUACCCCAUAAUUGAUAUUACACGAUUAGUAAUACUUAAUUUUUAGUUUGUAUAUCUCCGUUAUCAGAAAAUCUUUUUAGGGUUUUAUUAAAUUUUCUUUUUUCUUUAAUAAGAGUUAUUUCAGGUCAAGGUGCAGCUUAAUUAAGAGGAGGCGGGUUACAAUAAAUUGUAAUUUAUUAUGGAUUCUAUAAAUGAAUAAUUUGGAUUAAAGUGGAUUUGAUAGUAAUUUGUUUAUUUUUAUUUCAUUUGAAAUUAGCUCUAAAAUAUGUACACAUCGCCCGUCACUCUCGUUAUUAGUUUAUGUAAAUAUUUAUAAAAAUGAGAUAAGUCGUAACAUAGUAGAUGUACUGGAAAGUGUAUCUAGUAAGAUUAAA
RNAcentral lists this non-coding RNA (827 nucleotides) under Aularches miliaris. Lineage: Eukaryota; Metazoa; Arthropoda; Insecta; Orthoptera; Pyrgomorphidae. The record is from RNAcentral.